UGCGCUAUCAGAUGAGCCUAGGUCGGAUUAGCUAGUUGGUGAGGUAAUGGCUCACCAAGGCGACGAUCCGUAACUGGUCUGAGAGGAUGAUCAGUCACACUGGAACUGAGACACGGUCCAGACUCCUACGGGAGGCAGCAGUGGGGAAUAUUGGACAAUGGGCGAAAGCCUGAUCCAGCCAUGCCGCGUGUGUGAAGAAGGUCUUCGGAUUGUAAGGCACUUUAAGUUGGGAGGAAGGGCAUUAACCUAAUACGUUAGUGUUUUGACGUUACCGACAGAAUAAGCACCGGCUAACUCUGUGCCAGCAGCCGCGGUAAUACAGAGGGUGCAAGCGUUAAUCGGAAUUACUGGGCGUAAAGCGCGCGUAGGUGGUUUGUUAAGUUGAAUGUGAAAGCCCCGGGCUCAACCUGGGAACUGCAUCCAAAACUGGCAAGCUAGAGUACGGUAGAGGGUGGUGGAAUUUCCUGUGUAGCGGUGAAAUGCGUAGAUAUAGGAAGGAACACCAGUGGCGAAGGCGACCACCUGGACUGAUACUGACACUGAGGUGCGAAAGCGUGGGGAGCAAAC
This 567-nucleotide ribosomal RNA is filed under the name uncultured bacterium. RNAcentral describes it as "bacterial SSU rRNA". It matches the Rfam family "Bacterial small subunit ribosomal RNA", at positions 214 to 773 of the family's 1533-position model. The record is from RNAcentral.